UAUAAGAGAUUUUGAGUUUUUACUUGCAUUGUUUGACCACCCGUCUUAUUCAAAAAUUUUUUGGAAUUAUUAUUAUUAUUUUUGACUUACUUUAUUACCCAAAGUACUUUAAGCACAAUUUUUCGUUUUUUAUAUUUGCACAAAUUUUUUGAAUAAGACGAGUGGUCAAACAAUGCAAACAAAAAAUCAAAAUCCCUUAUA
MicroRNA precursor from Oryza sativa Indica Group (long-grained rice), 201 nucleotides. It matches the Rfam family "MIR812 microRNA precursor family". The record is from Rfam. NCBI's taxonomy places the organism in Eukaryota, Viridiplantae, Streptophyta, Magnoliopsida, Poales, Poaceae.